UAGGGAAUCUUCGGCAAUGGGGGGAACCCUGACCGAGCAACGCCGCGUGAGUGAAGAAGGUUUUCGGAUCGUAAAGCUCUGUUGUUAAGGAAGAACGAGUGUGAGAAUGGAAAGUUCAUGCUGUGACGGUACUUAACCAGAAAGGAACGGCUAACUACGUGCCAGCAGCCGCGGUAAUACGUAGGUCCCGAGCGUUGUCCGGAUUUAUUGGGCGUAAAGCGAGCGCAGGCGGUUAGAAAAGUCUGAAGUGAAAGGCAGUGGCUCAACCAUUGUAGGCUUUGGAAACUGUUUAACUUGAGUGCAGAAGGGGAGAGUGGAAUUCCAUGUGUAGCGGUGAAAUGCGUAGAUAUAUGGAGGAACACCGGUGGCGAAAGCGGCUCUCUGGUCUGUAACUGACGCUGAGGCUCGAAAGCGUGGGGAGCGAACAGG
Molecule: ribosomal RNA, 429 nt
Filed under: Bacteroidota bacterium
Lineage: Bacteria; Pseudomonadati; Bacteroidota
Description: Bacteroidetes bacterium partial 16S ribosomal RNA
Rfam family: Bacterial small subunit ribosomal RNA
Source: RNAcentral